UACAGGAGGGUGCGAGCGUUGUCCGGAAUCACUGGGCGUAAAGGGCGCGUAGGCGGUCUUGUAAGAUCGGGGGUGAAAUGCUGCGGCUCAACCGCAGCGCUGCCUUCGAGACUGCAAGACUGGAGCACGGUAGAGGCGGAUGGAAUCCCGGUGUAGCGGUGGAAUGCGUAGAGAUCGGGAAGAACACCAAUGGCGAAGGCAGUCCGC
Molecule: ribosomal RNA, 207 nt
Filed under: uncultured bacterium
Lineage: Bacteria
Description: partial 16S ribosomal RNA
Rfam family: Bacterial small subunit ribosomal RNA
Source: RNAcentral